Molecule: long non-coding RNA, 4024 nt
Organism: Mustela erminea (ermine)
Lineage: Eukaryota; Metazoa; Chordata; Mammalia; Carnivora; Mustelidae
Exons: 2
Source: RefSeq, a predicted model, not a curated record
CAGAAUCCUGAGAUCAUGACCUGAGCCGAAGGCAGAGGCUUAACCCACUGAGCCACCCAGGUGCCCCAUAAAUGGAGUUUCUAGGGGCCCCAGCAGGUUCUGUGGGCUCAACUGUAGUCAGGGUCCCCAGACUGAAGUCUUAAAGAUACUAUACUGCCUUCUCAUCUAGCCAGUCCUGCAACCCCCAGUUUUUCUUGCUUGUAGACUGGGUAGAGGUUGAAAAAGGGAAAGGCAGGCUGCAUCUAGCCAGGUUAAGGUUCUCUUCUUAGAUUACAAGGGUAUACAGAGAGAAGUGCACAAAAGGGCUUGGCACCGAGGGUCCUGAGGACUCUGGAGGAACUGGAUUCCUUCCCCGGCCUACAAGGUGGCAUUCCAUGCAUUAGGUGUGCUAGAGUGGGUGGAUUUUGUUAACUGUUCAGCCUCCCCAUCCCCCACAAAAAGAGCCAUUAAAUUAUUUUUGGUUAUAUUUUAAUGAUCUGUCUGUUACAGAAAUACAGUUGAGAAACCAGAAGAGGGAGCAGUUAGGGAAGGACUUACAGGUUCUAUCCAGGUUGGCAUUCCUGAUGCAAUGGUUUCCAAGCUUCUGUAGUGCCUGUGGGCCAAUGUCUGACUUGACCACAGAAAAAGCAGUUUUUUUUCAAAGGGAUUGAAGGUGGGGUUUGUGUAGGGUUUUCUAGUCACACUAUCGAGAAAUGAAAGGUCCCUAUUCCUUUUAACCUAGAAAUAGGUUUGCUGUUUAAUGAGUGAGCCGUAAUUGUGCAGAAGAUGCCAGAUGCAUGCCCCUCAGGUAAGCCAGUGCGCUCUUCACUUUAACAGUGUAACAUCAGGGUGGUGUGAAGAGGGGCAGGAUGUGGACGCCAUUUUGAAAAUAACAAAUUACCUGAAGGUGACUAUAAGAAAUUGAAUAUGGAUUGGGAAAUCCUUGGAUUUUGGCAAAUGGCUUUGAGUUUGUGAUGUUUUAGGGAUUAGAAAGCUGUAUGAGAUGAAGUGUUGCUUCAUUGAAAUGCUUUUCCCCCAUUCCUGCCAUAUUUGAAUGUAUCAUUAACCCGACCUCUGUAAUGACACUUUGCUAUGCUUUAGCUGGAUGCCUCAAUAGUUUCCCUUAUCUGUGCCAGUUGUGGUCCAAGUUGUGCCAGUUGGGUCCAAGACCCCCAUCUAGUCUUCUGGUAAGAAAAAUUAGAGCUGGGUAAAGAUCCAAAUUUAACCCAAGCCCAGAGGCCCAAAGUAAUCCGACUGGAAAUGUCAUGUACAAGGCAGUGUUUUCAAUAUUAAACUUCCCUAAGGAAGGCACAAACUAGCCUUCUUGGAAAGGAAGAAGGGAUUAAGCCACAGAGUAUUUAUUAGUUCAUCGUUGAUACAGUUCUGAUCUCCCAGAGACUCGUGCCAAAAUUCAGUCCUCAGUGCUGGAACCUGCAGGGUGUGGAACUCCAUAGUUCAUGUGAUGGCCUCAAAUGCUAAACUAUGCCAAACUGCAUUAAACAACGGUGGGAAGUUACGGGGAUAAGGACUUUGGUCUAAAAGUUUGAAAACCAAAACAUCUAGAUUUAGGACUGGUUUGCCACAUUUAAAGAGAAGUCUUGAGUGUAGGGAAGCCCAAUUAUACCAUUACAAAGGCUGGAGAGAAGCUGCUGCUAGGUUUGUUUUAGCUGCCUGCUUUGCUGUUUUUCUUGUGUCUCUUAAUGUUUGCUUAGUGAUACUUGAACAUCUUGGUAACUGACAAAGGUCUUCCCUUGGAGGGACUUGAAAAAUACUGGUAACUGACAAAGGUCUUCCUUUGCUGGGACUCUAGCAGUAACUUGUUUAAGCAGCUGAAAGGACUAUUAAAGUUAUUAACGUGUGUUAAUUGGGUCUCAUUUGAAGACCUAUCUUAUUGAUCCUCCUCCUCCAUAAUCUGUUGCUGAAUCCUAGAGUGGGUUCCCACCUACCCCCUUUCAAAAGUUUAUUAUUUCUAUGGUUAGCUGUAAUUAUAGCAUACAUCCAGUUUAACCUGGACUGGGGGCUGGGUUUUAAUGAGGAUCUGGAGGUGUUUUUCCUUAUUGAGAGUUAUGCUUGAGCAGUGGUUGCAGAAGCCAAGAUGAUUCAAAUAGCUUUGAGUAACCAUCAAGUUCUGCUUCUGAUUCAGGUGCUGGGGCCUCACAUCCUCCCUACUCCUCUUGGAAACUAAGCCUGCUUUCAUAGAUACCUUCUUCCACCACCUACCUUCCCUUUUUACUAUUUACUAUGACAUACUCUUGGAUAUUGCCAAAGGAAGCCAUUCAGCAGAUGCUGUGUCUCUCCCCACCCCCACCCCCUUUUAUUCCUGGAUAAGUGUCUUCCCUCUGACUCUGGUCCUCAGCCCUGAGUCUGUAAUUAAUUGUUCUUACCUGUUGCACUAAUGAAUAUGAUUCUAGGUUUCCAAGGGGGGGGGGACUUGAAACAAUAGGCAAAUGGGACUUGGAUGAAUUGGUCCUACAGAUACCCUGCCUUAACUGAGGUGAUGAGUCUGCUACUCAUGUGACCCUCCACCUUUGUGGAUUCCUCUUGGUUUGUGACCAGUGUGUCUGUUUCUUGAGGAUGUACAAACUUGUUGGCAAAGGUCAAUACUUUUGUUUGUAUUCUCUGCACUGUUGCACUCUCCAAAUGGCCCCUUGAAUAUUUUUAUUAACUUGUUACACACACUUCUGUCUUUGUCUACAUUUUUCUUUUGAUGUUUUUUUUAUUUGGAAGGUUACCUGCUGUUGGAUUUAAUAAAUUUGUUUACUUGACUAUUGACAAUUCUGAGAGAAAAAUACCCCCACAAAAAACCAAACCAGUGACUUUAUUCUGGGGCGAGAUUUACCCAUCGGGAGCCUCUUCCAACAUGAUAUUGGAUAGCAGUUCCUUUGCUUUGGAAAAUAAUCCAGAUGGUACAGGAUCCUCAGACUUCAAACAUGGAUGUUGACUUCCCACUUACCAGCUUAAUGGCCUUUGGGGUCCUGAUACUUGUAGGCAAAAAGCAAAUGAGUCCUCAGAGGGCCACUACCUAAAUAGUCUUAUGGUAGCAACUGAUGUGGAUUCCCAUGAGGAACAAAAAGUGAAUUUGAGCACUGUGCUAAUGGAUGGCUCCUACAUCUAUCAGGCUGGCAGGGAUUAAGGCAAAGGAGACAAGCUGAAACUGUCAAGUGCCACUGCUGUGUGACCUUUGGCAAGUUAGUGAAAUUCCAAGUUUCCUUAUACUCAUCUGUAAAAUCAAGAGAAUUCCAUCAGAGGGUUAGGAUUUAAGUCUUUAAAAAGCACCUAAAUCACGUAAGUUUAAGGUUUCCUAAAGGAUACCAGGUGAGUAAUGCAAGGAAUCCAGAGAGGAAGAGAUGGGGGUUGGCAUGGUAACAGGACCUUUCAGGUCACUGCCCCUCCUGGGGGCUGAAUUUCUCUCUGUGCCAAAUUGGGGGUGGAGUUGGGGGAUGGGGGUUGCUUCGACUAACACGGUCCCCGAUGGCUUUAUUUGGCUCUUACAUCCUAGAAGUCUGAUGAUGGUAGACCAGUUAUGACCCGUAGCUUCCUUUCAUUGUAUUUUCUGUCUUGUUAUUGUUUGUAUUCAGGAAAGCUAUUGGCCAGCCAUCUUACUCACUUCUUUGAUGGAGGCCCUAAUGACCUUCCCAAAGAUUUCCAGCCUCAUGUUGGUACCUCCUAAAAAUAAGGGUGCUGAAAAAGUCCUACUAGAAUAUGGCAGCAAUGCAAUCAAGAGCAAGGCAUCUGACUAGUGUUUUAUAAUCCAUGCUGAUGGAGACUCUCCAUGGCCCUGUGUUUUAUGUGGGGUAGUGCUGCCGAACUUGCUAGUAUAUUAAAAUAAAGAGCUACAAAAUGGUAUGGUACCUAGUGUAAGACAAGACAGAAGAAAACACUCGGGCUCUCGUAUACAUGGACUUACAUAGUAAAGGACAAAUUCUCCUUGACUGGGUAAGUAAAGAUAGAUAAACAGGUAAAAAUAUACUUGGGGGAGAAGUUGCUGUAUGCCAAAAUGAAUUCGAGUAGGAAUAAAUGUGUAAGUGUAAAAAUUACAUUAUUU